Molecule: signal recognition particle RNA, 298 nt
Filed under: Cebus imitator (Panamanian white-faced capuchin)
Lineage: Eukaryota; Metazoa; Chordata; Mammalia; Primates; Cebidae
Description: Metazoan signal recognition particle RNA (ENSCCAG00000005572.1)
Rfam family: Metazoan signal recognition particle RNA
About the family: The signal recognition particle (SRP) is a universally conserved ribonucleoprotein. It is involved in the co-translational targeting of proteins to membranes.
Source: RNAcentral
GCUGGGCACGGUGGCGUGUGCCUGUAGUCCCAGCUACUCGGGAGGCUGAGGUGGGAAGGUUGCUUGAGCCCGGGAGUUCUGGGUUGUAGUGCACUAUGCUGAUCAGGUGUCCACACUAAGUUUGGCAUCAAUAUGUGACCUCCCGGGAGCGGAGGACCACCAGGUUGCCUAAGGAGGAGUGAACCGGCCCAGGUCAGAAAUGGAGCAGGUCAAAACUUCCAUGCUGAUCAAUAGUGGGAUCGUGCCUGUGAAUAGCCACUGCACUCCAGCCUGGGCAACAUAGUGAGACCACGUCUCU